This 253-nucleotide unclassified non-coding RNA is filed under the name uncultured Alphaproteobacteria bacterium. Its description in RNAcentral is "contains 16S-23S intergenic spacer region". It matches the Rfam family "Bacterial small subunit ribosomal RNA", at positions 524 to 776 of the family's 1533-position model. The record is from RNAcentral. Lineage: Bacteria; Pseudomonadati; Pseudomonadota; Alphaproteobacteria.
UACGAAGGGAGCGAGCGUUGUUCGGAAUCACUGGGCGUAAAGCGUGCGUAGGCGGAAGUGUAAGUCAGAAGUGAAAGCCCAGGGCUCAACCUUGGAAUUGCUUUUGAGACUGCAUUUCUAGAAUUCGGUAGAGGCUAGUGGAAUGUCCAGUGUAGAGGUGAAAUUCGCAGAUAUUGGACGGAACACCAGUGGCGAAGGCGACUAGCUGGGCCGAUAUCGACGCUGAGGCACGAAAGCGUGGGUAGCAAACAGG